This 363-nucleotide ribosomal RNA is filed under the name uncultured bacterium. Its description in RNAcentral is "partial 16S ribosomal RNA". It matches the Rfam family "Bacterial small subunit ribosomal RNA", at positions 338 to 698 of the family's 1533-position model. The record is from RNAcentral.
CCUACGGGAGGCAGCAGUGAGGAAUAUUGGUCAAUGGACGCAAGUCUGAACCAGCCAUGCCGCGUGCAGGAAGACGGCUCUAUGAGUUGUAAACUGCUUUUGUACGAGGGUAAACGCAGAUACGCGUAUCUGUCUGAAAGUAUCGUACGAAUAAGGAUCGGCUAACUCCGUGCCAGCAGCCGCGGUAAUACGGAGGGUUCAAGCGUUAUCCGGAUUUAUUGGGUUUAAAGGGUGCGUAGGCGGUCGGAUAAGUUAGAGGUGAAAUCCCGGGGCUCGACUUCGGAAUUGCCUCUGAUACUGGUCGGCUUGAGAGUAGUUGCGGUAGGCAGAAUGUAUGGUGUAGCGGUGAAAUGCGUAGAGAUC